GGGCCUAUAGCUCAAUGGUCAGAGCAGAGGACUCAUAAUCCUUUGGUUCCAGGUUCGAGUCCUGGUGGGCCCA
Transfer RNA from Lysobacter arseniciresistens ZS79, 73 nucleotides. It matches the Rfam family "tRNA". Rfam says of the family: Transfer RNA (tRNA) molecules are approximately 80 nucleotides in length. Their secondary structure includes four short double-helical elements and three loops (D, anti-codon, and T loops). The record is from Rfam. Lineage: Bacteria; Pseudomonadati; Pseudomonadota; Gammaproteobacteria; Lysobacterales; Lysobacteraceae.